AGCACCAAUCAGCACUUUCGGAUGAGCGGACUAUUCAAUAUUGGGCUCGUAAUCGACUUCAAGACGAAGAAACGAAGCGGAUGUAGUGCCUCUUGUGAUUGAGAUUCUCCAUCGCGACAUGCUCACACGCACAAAGGAAACCGAUUCUUCAAGGACGAAGGUGAAACGGCAACAGUUUCCCAAAUGAAAUCCUCUCUAGGAAUUGGAAAUUGGCAAAUAUUCCUGUGGCAAAGGUGACUCUGCAGGCAUCAAUGACAGAGAGCUGAGACGCACCUACGGACCUACGGAAGGACCACUUUGAGCCAACCGAUGUGCAGCUAAUCAAGCACUCCUCAUCUCCAAUGACACCACAACCCAGCACACCCCCUAGAAGUCAAUCGUAUGAAGGCAUUCAUUUCUCAAGCGUACCCAGGAUGCACCUCUAUCAUCGAGGGUCAGGCAUUGCAGAGUUGUGUUGGCAUUAGUGGAACGUUUAUUCAACGGCGCAGCAUUUGUCUCCCAGUAGAGACCCAGUAGUCAUACGGGGGACAAAUGAAGGCCAUAGACAGACAGAUAGACAGAGUGCCGCAGUAAAUGCAUUCGGUCUUUUUCAUGAAUCCUUGGCUACUCUGAACUAUCGAUGGAUCGGCUUUGGGUAUUUUUUGAGCAGAGAAACGUUUCGGUGGAAAAAUCUGGCAAUCCUCGCCAUCACUGGAACCUACAUACAACCUGUGUACUCGUAUCUUCAAGCGGACAUCUGCAAGAAAAGACGACUACCAUUUUGAUAACAGGCUAAGCCACAUCAAUGGCAUUGCCUUGAAGAGGUAGUAGGGAAAAUGGGAAGGCCUUCAAAUGCGAGCUGCCAGGAGGAGCAACGGGGCGGUCCUCGCGUCUGAAGACCUGGAUGAAUCUCUCCAACUGGUGGAAGAGCAGGCCCAGCGUGGAGAGGCUGCUGUCAGGAGGAGUUGCCAGAAUAGUUAAGGAGGAAGAUGCACAAGAAGGAAACUAUGGAACUCACUUGUAGGACGGGUGACCAUCCAUCCAACGAAUCAGAUGUGUCCACGAUGAUGUUGGUCAGGGACAAGGCAGCUUCUUUCUGUUCCUUGGAGCUGCUAUCAUCACUAUAGAAUCACUAUAGUUUUUGUAUUUGGAAGUAUAUUGGAAGCAUGUAAUUAUGUCAAUUAAAGUAACGACUCAACAUCCUGCAUACCGACUGGGCAUAUAUCCCUAAGUCUGCGACCCUUCGCUGUUAGUCUCUUAACAAUUGUAUAGUUUUCUCCAUCUUUGCAGACUCUUCUUUAAGCGCAGGACCUUUAAAUCAUUAAAAAUCAUU
RNAcentral lists this small RNA (1312 nucleotides) under Drosophila pseudoobscura pseudoobscura. Its description in RNAcentral is "GA30669". Lineage: Eukaryota; Metazoa; Arthropoda; Insecta; Diptera; Drosophilidae. The record is from RNAcentral.